RNAcentral lists this ribosomal RNA (388 nucleotides) under Rathayibacter tritici. RNAcentral's name for it is "bacterial SSU rRNA". It matches the Rfam family "Bacterial small subunit ribosomal RNA", at positions 49 to 437 of the family's 1533-position model. Lineage: Bacteria; Bacillati; Actinomycetota; Actinomycetes; Micrococcales; Microbacteriaceae. The record is from RNAcentral.
UAACACAUGCAAGUCGAACGAUGAAGCCCAGCUUGAUGGGUGGAUUAGUGGCGAACGGGUGAGUAACACGUGAGUAACCUGCCCUUGACUCUGGGCUAAGCGCUGGAAACGGCGUCUAAUACCGGAUACGACCUGCCCCGGCAUCGGGUGCGGGUGGAAAGUUUUUCGGUCAAGGAUGGACUCGCGGCCUAUCAGCUUGUUGGUGAGGUAAUGGCUCACCAAGGCGACGACGGGUAGCCGGCCUGAGAGGGUGACCGGCCACACUGGGACUGAGACACGGCCCAGACUCCUACGGGAGGCAGCAGUGGGGAAUAUUGCACAAUGGGCGAAAGCCUGAUGCAGCAACGCCGCGUGAGGGAUGACGGCCUUCGGGUUGUAAACCUCUUUU